This 497-nucleotide ribosomal RNA is filed under the name uncultured bacterium. RNAcentral's name for it is "partial 16S ribosomal RNA". It matches the Rfam family "Bacterial small subunit ribosomal RNA", at positions 28 to 507 of the family's 1533-position model. The record is from RNAcentral.
GACGAACGCUGGCGGCGUGCCUAAUACAUGCAAGUUGAGCGAUGAAGCUUGGUGCUUGCUCCAAUUUGAAGAGCAGCGAACGGGUGAGUAACGCGUGGGGAAUCUGCCUUUGAGCGGGGGACAACAUUUGGAAACGAAUGCUAAUACCGCAUAACAACUUUAAACAUAAGUUUUAAGUUUGAAAGAUGCAAUUGCAUCACUCAAAGAUGAUCCCGCGUUGUAUUAGCUAGUUGGUGAGGUAAAGGCCCACCAAGGCGAUGAUACAUAGCCGACCUGAGAGGGGGGUCGGCCACAUUGGGACCGAGACACGGCCCAAACUCCCACGGGAGGCAGCAGUAGGGAAUCUUCGGCAAUGGGCGAAAGUCUGACCGAGCAACGCCGCGGGAGUGAAGAAGGUUUUCGGAUCGUAAAACUCUGUUGGUAGAGAAGAACGUUGGUGAGAGUGGAAAGCUCAUCAAGUGACGGUAACUACCCAGAAAGGGACGGCUAACUACGUG